CCUACGGGUGGCAGCAGUGAGGAAUAUUGGUCAAUGGGCGUAAGCCUGAACCAGCCAAGUCGCGUGAGGGAUGAAGGUUCUAUGGAUUGUAAACCUCUUUUAUAAGGGAAUAAAGUGUGGGACGUGUCCUUUUUUGUAUGUACCUUAUGAAUAAGGAUCGGCUAACUCCGUGCCAGCAGCCGCGGUAAUACGGAGGAUCCGAGCGUUAUCCGGAUUUAUUGGGUUUAAAGGGUGCGUAGGCGGCCUUUUAAGUCAGAGGUGAAAGUCCGUGGCUCAACCACGGAAUUGCCGUUGAAACUGGGAGGCUUGAGUGUGGUUGAGGCAGGCGGAAUGCGUGGUGUAGCGGUGAAAUGCUUAGAUAUCACGCAGAACACCGAUUGCGAAGGCAGCCUGCCAAGCCAUGACUGACGCUGAGGCACGAAAGCGUGGGGAUCAAACAGGAUUAGAUACCCGAGUAGUC
This 460-nucleotide ribosomal RNA is filed under the name uncultured bacterium. RNAcentral describes it as "partial 16S ribosomal RNA". It matches the Rfam family "Bacterial small subunit ribosomal RNA", at positions 338 to 795 of the family's 1533-position model. The record is from RNAcentral.